GCCAACGUAGCUUAAUUAAAGCAUAACACUGAAAAAAAGUAAGAUGGACCCUAGAAAGUCUCGUCGGC
This 68-nucleotide transfer RNA is filed under the name unidentified. RNAcentral's name for it is "Acanthogobius stigmothonus tRNA-Phe". The record is from RNAcentral.